Molecule: transfer RNA, 64 nt
Filed under: Sitophilus zeamais (maize weevil)
Lineage: Eukaryota; Metazoa; Arthropoda; Insecta; Coleoptera; Curculionidae
Description: tRNA-Pro
Source: RNAcentral
CAGAAAAUAGUUUAUUAAAAAUCUUAAUUUUGGAAAUUAAAGUAGGGAGUUUUCUCUUUUCUGA